AUGGUCUAGUUCCUAUUCAGAAUGAAUAAAUCUUUUGCCUUUUACUAACAAUUUUCAUGGAGAGUAACAGUUAUGAGUCAGUAACCAAAUUUUUUGAGGCCUUGCAUAUGCAGGGCU
RNAcentral lists this small nuclear RNA (117 nucleotides) under Carlito syrichta (Philippine tarsier). RNAcentral's name for it is "U5 spliceosomal RNA (ENSTSYG00000033364.1)". It matches the Rfam family "U5 spliceosomal RNA". From Rfam's summary of the family: U5 RNA is a component of both types of known spliceosome. The record is from Rfam by way of RNAcentral. Lineage: Eukaryota; Metazoa; Chordata; Mammalia; Primates; Tarsiidae.